This 56-nucleotide transfer RNA is filed under the name Oxyopes licenti. Its description in RNAcentral is "tRNA-Asp". The record is from RNAcentral. Lineage: Eukaryota; Metazoa; Arthropoda; Arachnida; Araneae; Oxyopidae.
AAUGGUUUAGUUAAUAAUAAUAUUAAUUUGUCAAGUUAAAGAAGAGCUAAUUCCUC